Molecule: long non-coding RNA, 394 nt
Filed under: Anas zonorhyncha (Eastern spot-billed duck)
Lineage: Eukaryota; Metazoa; Chordata; Aves; Anseriformes; Anatidae
Description: lncRNA (ENSAZOG00000018730.1)
Source: RNAcentral
UCCCACGUGAUUAGAGAAACAAAGAAGGUUUUGUGAACUUAAAGGUGGCGGGGAAGCAUAGUUGCAUCUCAUUAUACACUGAAGAAUGGGAAGGAUAAUUUUUUCCAUUAGCGGCUAUUUCAUAUGAGGAAACCUUCCCCUGCCUGCACAAAGUCCCUGAAGAAACAUCCAGCAGGACCAGGAUGAAGCAUACCUUCAGAUGACUCUGUGAAAUACUUCCUUGGUCACUUUGCCAGUAACCAUGAAACCCCGGCAAAACAUCAUAAGUUCAGCCAACCCAAAACUGCAAAACUGACUACACUAAAAAUUAACAGGUCCUUCCAUUGAUUUUGAAGGGCUUAAAUUCUCCACCCAGGAGUUUAAAUUCUCCACCCACCAAACAGACUGAAUCUAC